Molecule: ribosomal RNA, 104 nt
Filed under: uncultured bacterium
Lineage: Bacteria
Description: partial 16S ribosomal RNA
Rfam family: Bacterial small subunit ribosomal RNA
Source: RNAcentral
CCUUGUACACACCGCCCGUCACGCCAUGGAAGCUGGGGGGACCUAAAGUCGGUGGGCUAACCGCAAGGAGGCAGCCGCCAAAGGUCAAUUCAGUGACUGGGGCG